RNAcentral lists this transfer RNA (76 nucleotides) under Jungermannia exsertifolia subsp. cordifolia. RNAcentral's name for it is "partial tRNA-Leu". It matches the Rfam family "tRNA", at positions 10 to 71 of the family's 71-position model. From Rfam's summary of the family: Transfer RNA (tRNA) molecules are approximately 80 nucleotides in length. Lineage: Eukaryota; Viridiplantae; Streptophyta; Jungermanniopsida; Jungermanniales; Jungermanniaceae. The record is from RNAcentral.
UCGAAAUUGGUAGACGCUGCGGACUUAAAAUCCGUUGGCUAUUUAGACCGUGAGGGUUCAAGUCCCUCUACCCCCA